CUACGGGUCGCUGCAGUGGGGAAUAUUGCACAAUGGAGGAAACUCUGAUGCAGCAACGCCGCGUGGAGGAUGACACUUUUCGGAGCGUAAACCCCUUUUAUAUAGGAAGAAGAUGACGGUACUAUAUGAAUAAGCGCCGGCUAACUCCGUGCCAGCAGCCGCGAUAACACGGAGGGCGCAAGCGUUACUCGGAAUCACUGGGCGUAAAGAGCGUGUAGGCGGAUUAAAAAGUCAGAAGUGAAAUCCUAUAGCUUAACUAUAGAACUGCUUCUGAAACUCUUAAUCUAGAAUAUGGGAGAGGUAGAUGCAAUUGCUGGUGUAGGGGUAAAAUCCGUAGAGAUCAGAAGGAAUACCGAUUGCGAAGGCGAUCUACUAGAACAUUAUUGACGUUGAGACGCGAAAGCGUGGGGAGCAAACAGGAUUAGAUACCCCCGUAGUC
RNAcentral lists this ribosomal RNA (439 nucleotides) under uncultured bacterium. Its description in RNAcentral is "partial 16S ribosomal RNA". It matches the Rfam family "Bacterial small subunit ribosomal RNA", at positions 339 to 795 of the family's 1533-position model. The record is from RNAcentral.